This 508-nucleotide ribosomal RNA is filed under the name uncultured bacterium. RNAcentral describes it as "partial 16S ribosomal RNA". The record is from RNAcentral.
GGAGUUAGCCGGUGCUUCUUCUGUGAGUGAUGUCCUUCCUGCCGGCUAUUAACCCGCAGGCCUUCUUCCUCACUGAAAGUGCUUUACAACCCGAAGGCCUUCUUCACACACGCGGCAUGGCUGGAUCAGGGUUGCCCCCAUUGUCCAAUAUUCCCCACUGCUGCCUCCCGUAGGAGUCUGGGCCGUGUCUCAGUCCCAGUGUGGCUGAUCAUCCUCUCAGACCAGCUACGGAUCGUCGCCUUGGUGAGCCGUUACCUCACCAACCAGCUAAUCCGACAUAGGCUCAUCCGAUAGCGCGAGGCCCGAAGGUCCCCCGCUUUCCCCCGUAGGGCGUAUGCGGUAUUAGCCUGGGUUUCCCCAGGUUAUCCCCCACUACCGGGCAGAUUCCUAUGCAUUACUCACCCGUCCGCCGCUCGCCACCAGGGAGCAAGCUCCCCGUGCUGCCGCUCGACUUGCAUGUGUUAGGCCUGCCGCCAGCGUUCAAUCUGAGCCAGAAUCGAACCCUAGA